GUAGCGCCAAGAUGGCGGCGCGCUGCCAGUACUCAAGAUGGCGCCUGUGCCCGCGGUUGCGGCCGAAGUAAGAGUGUCGAUGUUUCCGUGGUUAUAUUACCUUAGCGGUGCUAAAAACGAGGGGAAAGCUCGUGCGUUGGCGGAUGAGAGGAGUGCAGUGCUGUAGGACUAACCAGGCCCAGCUCCCACAGUCUCUCCUCAUAGAGAUGCUCCAGACCCCUCAUCAUCUCUGGGGCUUCCCCUGGACCCUCUCCAGUAGCUCCUUGUCUUUCUUGUACUCUUUCUACACCUGGUAAUACUUCUUAUCUCUGUGUACAGGCAGGAGGCUGCAGGAGGGAAUGUCCUUCCUGGAUGAUAUCUGAUACCAACUGAUCUGCAAUUUUUGUGUAAUUCUGUUAAUGGGAAAAGGCACUGAGGAACUGCAAGAAUGAAUUGGCCUCCCUGUGAGUCACGAGGUCUUAAACUUAGAAAUUCAGCUGUGCAAUAAGCAUGUGAUCCCAUCAGCGUGCCAGGAGAAAUUCCCAGAGCACCUGAUCCUCAACAGUUGGUUGGAAGCACCCCCAGACCGGGGUUGUUUUGUGGCUGGAUGGAAUUGGCUGUGAGUCCCGGUAGAAAUGAGCUCAUCCCAAGGAGUGAGCUCUGCCUGGUGUCCCCUGACCUCUGUGGGAACAGUGUGUGUGCAGCCUGCAGAGCACUGAUUUCAUGGAAUACAUGUUUACCGGCUGCAGCCAGGAUUUAUUGCCCAAUUCUGAGUGCUGUGGGGUAGCCUGUGCUGUCGCUGAGGUGAGGAGGCAUUUACAGCUGGCAGUGCCUUGCGGGACUAAUGUUCAGCCUGUAACAGUUUCUUCAGCUGCUUGCAACAAUUUGUUUUCACAGAGAAUGCUUAUUUCUCCAGUUUAUUCAGAGUGUAAAUGUUUCAGGAGCAGGGAUAAAUGUUACAUGGAGGGAUGGAGGCCAAAUACAUCAAGAGUGGCCCUAAAAGCAAGUAAUACCUUUAAGUGCUAUCUACUGUCGACAUAGGAAAGCUUUUAGGAGGUGAAGUUUUUGGAAAGUAGCUUUGCAAAGGUGCUGUUACCUCCCCAGGGCACCUUAACACAGGAUGGUGCUCUCUUGUCUGAGGUUGUCAGGCCUGGUGUGAUGGUGGGUCGUGGAUCUGGUGUCCUGUGGGGAAAUGGCAUCCAUAGCUAAUGGAAAGCAGAGGGUGCUCUUGGCAAUAAAAUACAUGGGACAUCUAAUUAUCUAAUGAUUACACAACUAUGAUCUUAUACUGUGCACUGAAACAGAGACUCUUUGCACACACUUCAGUUUGUAUAAGUUUUUGCUCUUUUUGUUUGAAUCCUUAAAUUGAAAAUAAUUCAGUCCAGGUAUUCUUAAGCCAGAGGAUGAAAUAGGGAUACUUAAGGUUUGUACCUAAGAUGUAUUGAAUAUUUCUGCAAAUGGUUCAAUUUCCAUGCAGUUCUCUGGUUUUCAUUGUGAAUAUGAAGAAAUAUGGGGGAAAAUUUAAUCUGCUGCCCUUUGAUGAUGUGCAGAAGCACAACCAGUCCUGUAACAGAUGAGUAACUUGGUUGCCCAGAGAGGUUGUAGAUCCCCAUCCCUGGAAGUGUCCAAAGCCAGGUUGGACAGGGCUUGGAGUAACCUGGUCUAGUGGAA
Molecule: long non-coding RNA, 1650 nt
Organism: Chiroxiphia lanceolata (lance-tailed manakin)
Lineage: Eukaryota; Metazoa; Chordata; Aves; Passeriformes; Pipridae
Exons: 4
Source: RefSeq, a predicted model, not a curated record